GGUUAAGCGACUAAGCGUACACGGUGGAUGCCUAGGCAAUCAGAGGCGAUGAAGGACGUGCUAAUCUGCGAUAAGCGUCGGUAAGGUGAUAUGAACCGUUACAACCGACGAUUUCCGAAUGGGGAAACCUAGUGCAAUUCGUUGCACUAUCGUUUGAUGAAUACAUAGUCAAACGAAGCGAACCGGGGGAACUGAAACAUCUCAGUACCCCGAGGAAAAGAAAUCAACCGAGAUUCCCCUAGUAGCGGCGAGCGAACGGGGAGCAGCCCAGAGUCUUAAUCAGCAUUAGCAUCAGGAGAACGGUCUGGAAAGUCCGGCAGUAAAGGGUGAUAGCCCCGUAUCCGAAGAUGUUAGUGUUGUGAACUCGACGAGUAGGGCGGGACACGUGUUAUCCUGUCUGAAUAUGGGGGGACCAUCCUCCAAGGCUAAAUACUCCUGAUUGACCGAUAGUGAACCAGUACCGUGAGGGAAAGGCGAAAAGAACCCCGGCGAGGGGAGUGAAAUAGAACCUGAAACCGUGUACGUACAAGCAGUGGGAGCCUUGAUUUAUCAGGGUGACUGCGUACCUUUUGUAUAAUGGGUCAGCGACUUAUAUUCUGUAGCAAGGUUAACCGAAUAGGGGAGCCGUAGGGAAACCGAGUCUUAACUGGGCGAAUAAGUUGCAGGGUAUAGACCCGAAACCCGGUGAUCUAGCCAUGGGCAGGUUGAAGGUUGGGUAACACUAACUGGAGGACCGAACCGACUAAUGUUGAAAAAUUAGCGGAUGACUUGUGGCUGGGGGUGAAAGGCCAAUCAAACCGGGAGAUAGCUGGUUCUCCCCGAAAGCUAUUUAGGUAGCGCCUCGUGAACUCAUCUUCGGGGGUAGAGCACUGUUUCGACUAGGGGGUCAUCCCGACUUACCAACUCGAUGCAAACUACGAAUACCGAAGAAUGUUAUCACGGGAGACACACGGCGGGUGCUAACGUUCGUCGUGAAGAGGGAAACAACCCAGACCGCCAGCUAAGGUCCCAAAGUCAUAGUUAAGUGGGAAACGAAGUGGGAAGGCUCAGACAGCCAGGAUGUUGGCUUAGAAGCAGCCAUCAUUUAAAGAAAGCGUAAUAGCUCACUGGUCGAGUCGGCCUGCGCGGAAGAUGUAACGGGGCUAAACUAUGCACCGAAGCUGCGGCAGCGAUAUGUAAAUAUUGUUGGGUAGGGGAGCGUUCUGUAAGCCUGUGAAGGUGUGCUGUGAGGCAUGCUGGAGGUAUCAGAAGUGCGAAUGCUGACAUAAGUAACGAUAAUGCGGGUGAAAAACCCGCACGCCGGAAGACCAAGGGUUCCUGUCCAACGUUAAUCGGGGCAGGGUGAGUCGACCCCUAAGGCGAGGCAGAAAUGCGUAGUCGAUGGGAAACGGGUUAAUAUUCCCGUACUGGUGAUAAUUGCGAUGGGGGGACGGAGAAGGCUAGGCUAUCCGGGCGACGGUUGUCCCGGUUUAAGGAUGUAGGCAGGUGAAUUAGGCAAAUCCGGUUCACUACAUGCUGAGGUCCGACGACGAGUCACUACGGUGAUGAAGUAGCUCAUGCCCCGCUUCCAGGAAAAGCCUCUAAGCUCUAGAUUAUCAUUAAUCGUACCCCAAACCGACACAGGUGGUCAGGUAGAGAAUACUCAGGCGCUUGAGAGAACUCGGGUGAAGGAACUAGGCAAAAUGGUGCCGUAACUUCGGGAGAAGGCACGCUGGCAUUAGGUGAAGUGAUUUACUCAUGGAGCUGAAGCCAGUCGCAGAUACCAGCUGGCUGCAACUGUUUAUUAAAAACACAGCACUGUGCAAACACGAAAGUGGACGUAUACGGUGUGACGCCUGCCCGGUGCUGGAAGGUUAAUUGAUGGGGUUAUCCGUAAGGAGAAGCUCUUGAUCGAAGCCCCAGUAAACGGCGGCCGUAACUAUAACGGUCCUAAGGUAGCGAAAUUCCUUGUCGGGUAAGUUCCGACCUGCACGAAUGGCGUAAUGAUGGCCAGGCUGUCUCCACCCGAGACUCAGUGAAAUUGAACUCGCUGUGAAGAUGCAGUGUACCCGCGGCAAGACGGAAAGACCCCGUGAACCUUUACUAUAGCUUGACACUGAACAUUGAGCCUUGAUGUGUAGGAUAGGUGGGAGGCUUUGAAGCGUGGACGCCAGUCUGCGUGGAGCCAACCUUGAAAUACCACCCUUUAAUGUUUGAUGUUCUAACGUUGCCCCAUUAUCUGGGGUGCGGACAGUGUCUGGUGGGUAGUUUGACUGGGGCGGUCUCCUCCCAAAGAGUAACGGAGGAGCACGAAGGUUGGCUAAGCAUGGUCGGACAUCAUGCGGUUAGUGCAAAGGCAUAAGCCAGCUUGACUGCGAGAGUGACGGCUCGAGCAGGUACGAAAGUAGGUCUUAGUGAUCCGGUGGUUCUGAAUGGAAGGGCCAUCGCUCAACGGAUAAAAGGUACUCCGGGGAUAACAGGCUGAUACCGCCCAAGAGUUCAUAUCGACGGCGGUGUUUGGCACCUCGAUGUCGGCUCAUCACAUCCUGGGGCUGAAGUAGGUCCCAAGGGUACGGCUGUUCGCCGUUUAAAGUGGUACGCGAGCUGGGUUUAGAACGUCGUGAGACAGUUCGGUCCCUAUCUGCCGUGGGCGUUGGAAGAUUGAAAGGGGCUGCUCCUAGUACGAGAGGACCGGAGUGGACGCACCACUGGUGUUCGGGUUGUCAUGCCAAUGGCAUUGCCCGGUAGCUAAGUGCAGAAGAGAUAACCGCUGAAAGCAUCUAAGCGGGAAACUUGCCUUGAGAUGAGUCUUCCCUGACUCUUUAAGAGUCCUAAAGGAACGUUUAAGACUAAGACGUUGAUAGGUUGGGUGUGUAAGCGUAGCGAUACGUUGAGCUAACCAAUACUAAUGAACCGUGAGGCUUAACCUG
Molecule: ribosomal RNA, 2909 nt
Filed under: Providencia rettgeri
Lineage: Bacteria; Pseudomonadati; Pseudomonadota; Gammaproteobacteria; Enterobacterales; Morganellaceae
Description: 23S ribosomal RNA
Rfam family: Bacterial large subunit ribosomal RNA
Source: RNAcentral